GGACAUAACCUCAAAAACACAUAGUCUUAGUGGAGUUGCCUUAUAAAGGUCAAUUAGUAGAAGAUUCAAACGGCUAUUAUUCUUUUACUAGUUUGAGAUCAAACCCUGGCAGCUUCACUCAGAAGAAUGAAAGGAACUUCUGAACUCUACACUCCCCAAGAGUCUGACCUCCUUGGUCUAAAAAAGAAGUCAUUUUUGAAAAUGGAUAUUGAUAAUCUAAGUCAAAGGAAUACAAGAUACCAAAUUUCUUUGCUGUGGCUAACAUAACUGAAAGCAGUGAAUUAAACUGGCUUAUAUUCAUUUGUUGAGAAAAUAAGACCAUGAAGACAGCAUAUCACCUGCUUUCCUGUCUAAAUGCCUACUUCCUGAAAGACAACUUGAGGCAACUCUGGCUGAACAAAUCUGGUUUGAGUUUUUAUGACUGAUUUCUAAAUUCUGGAACUGAGUGUACCUCAUAAUAACAUAGAGAUAUCAAGAAAGGAAAGAAAGCAAGAUACUAAUGGAAUUUAACACCAAGAGUUUUUAACUCAGGAAUAUAUUAAAACUCUUAUUGUGAUUUUGACUCCUUCGUUACUAAAAGGUCCGAUACAAUCUAACCAUUUUAACCAACUAAUAUAUACACUGUUGUACUAAAAUUUAACAUUCUACAUCUUACAUUUUAAUGUAAUUUAACAUUAC
This 678-nucleotide long non-coding RNA is filed under the name Vulpes vulpes (red fox). RNAcentral's name for it is "lncRNA (ENSVVUG00000019069.1)". Lineage: Eukaryota; Metazoa; Chordata; Mammalia; Carnivora; Canidae. The record is from RNAcentral.